This 97-nucleotide ribosomal RNA is filed under the name uncultured bacterium. RNAcentral describes it as "partial 16S ribosomal RNA". The record is from RNAcentral.
UUACGAUACCCGGGUAGUCCACACUGUAAACGUGAUUACUCGCUGUGUGCGAUAUACAGUACGCGGCCAAGCGAAAGCGAUAAGUAAUCAACGUUUA